GGGCAGUGAGCCUGGAGGCGGGGGGGAAGAAGGGGGCGGCGCUGGAGGAACUGAGCCCUAAGAUUUUAAGGGCAUGCUCCAACACCCAUUAAAGUCAAUGGAAAGAUUUUCCAUGGGAUGGGUCCAGGGUGCAUCUAGGAUUAUGAAAGUUUUGAUGUCUCUGGGAUGCCUUCUUGCACAUUCAAGUUAUCCCCGCUUGAAAGGAGAACAGAUUUUUCUCACUGGGGCUAGGUUUUAUUCUUAUCCAGCUGGCAAAAGGAGUAAGCCACUGAUUGCAGUAAUGCAAGGAGACUUCUAUUUUCUGAGCAAGACCUUCAAGCUGAAUGUUUCGGCUCUGGUUCAUUGUUUCAUGGACUACACUCAGGAAAAUAGAGUGUAG
This 379-nucleotide long non-coding RNA is filed under the name Chrysemys picta bellii (western painted turtle). RNAcentral describes it as "lncRNA (ENSCPBG00000010744.1)". Lineage: Eukaryota; Metazoa; Chordata; Testudines; Emydidae. The record is from RNAcentral.